ACAAUGAUACUUCUGACCGUUCAGGCUGCCAUCGUAAAAGAGCAGCAAGUGAAAUUCUUAUGA
Molecule: non-coding RNA, 63 nt
Organism: Streptococcus pneumoniae 2070335
Lineage: Bacteria; Bacillati; Bacillota; Bacilli; Lactobacillales; Streptococcaceae
Source: Rfam